AUGUGUUGUUGGUGAUGACAUUCGUCUCGAGGUGAUGCGGUGUCAUGUUGCCUGUGUAUCCUGGUUUCUAGCUAUUGAGCUUAAAACAUGUGGAUUAUCGGUAAGUGACACGGCAUCGCUCCCUUGGUUGACGAAAGUCAUCCAAUGAUGCGGUGGUUUGUUUGCUUUGUUCUCGCAUCGCUCGGUGCAUUCUGUGGUCAUUUUGGCUGUUGGUGGCUUGCUUGGCAAUUGAGCUUGGUGGGUUGCUACCGGUUGGGUGUCUACGGGGAUGUCUACCGUAAAGGUGCAUGAGUGGUGUUUGGUUUGUUACGGGUGGUUGGCUCUUUGCUUGCGCAACAACUUCUACCCGGCAUACCUCUUCAGUCUCGUGUCAAUGCUUGUAUUGCAUUGAAUGCAUAGCGGGUUUCUUGUGUUGCAUGCCUAAUUAAUGGUAUCGUUUGAUGAAUUGGUUUUCCUUUCGUCUUGCGUCGCCUAUGCGAUGUGAGAUGAACCUUGAAGCAACCUUUGUGAUCCACUCUUUUGAUGCAUACGCAUUGAUUUUGUGGCCCAUUGAGUGUUGCUUGGUCUCAUGGAUAUGGAACCUGGUGUGGGCAUGGAAUCGUAAUGGUUCCUUGUUUGCCCAAGUUUAGCUUUUUCUAAAACGAUUGUCUAUCA
RNAcentral lists this unclassified non-coding RNA (654 nucleotides) under Helichrysum uninervium. RNAcentral describes it as "partial external transcribed spacer". Lineage: Eukaryota; Viridiplantae; Streptophyta; Magnoliopsida; Asterales; Asteraceae. The record is from RNAcentral.